CGUGUUUACAAAAGAUAUUUGCACAUACUCUUUCUUUUUCCAAUGGAAUUCUUUCUAUCAGAUUCUACAUUUCAUUUGCAUAAUUUCAAAUUUUUAUAAGCAUAAAAGAAUUACUACUAAAUCACAAGAAACUUAAUAUACUUGGACCUAAUUACCGAUUAAUACAUAAACGUUUAUGUACACGUUACAUGCAGAGUUUUAGCCUGCGAAUGGUCAGACGAGAUUUUGUGAGAAUGAGUAUUCCAAACGUUCAAGGAUAGCUGGCUGCUCGAAGUCACGUAGCUAUCGGGUGACACAGGAUCGAAUUUUCGGAAGACGCGUGGGAGAGUUUAGACGUGACAAGUAAUCCGAAUA
Long non-coding RNA from Bombus pascuorum, 354 nucleotides. RefSeq lists it as uncharacterized. The record is from RefSeq and is a predicted model, not a curated record. NCBI's taxonomy places the organism in Eukaryota, Metazoa, Arthropoda, Insecta, Hymenoptera, Apidae. The transcript is spliced from 2 exons.